Oncorhynchus keta (chum salmon) is the source of this 2389-nucleotide long non-coding RNA. RefSeq lists it as uncharacterized. The transcript has 7 exons. Lineage: Eukaryota; Metazoa; Chordata; Actinopteri; Salmoniformes; Salmonidae. The record is from RefSeq and is a predicted model, not a curated record.
UCUGAUUGGCUGACGGCCGAUGCAGUCCCAUGGCUGCAUCCCUGCCCAGUCAUGUGACAUCCAAUGAUUAGGACCCAAUUAAUUAUUUUCAAAUGACUGUAUAUCAGUAUAGCAGUAAGGUUGCCCAUUACCAUCAGUAAGUUUGCCCAUUACCAUCAGUAAGGUUGCCCAUUACCAUCAGUAAGUUUGCCCAUUACCAACAGUACUGCAGUAAGGUUGCCCAUUACCAUCAGUAAGGUUGCCCAUUACCAACAGUACUAGAGUAAGGUUGCCCAUUACCAUCAGUACUAGAGUAAGGUUGCCCAUUACCACCAGUAAGGUUGCCCAUUACCACCAGUAAGGUUGCCCAUUACCACCAGUAAGGUUGCCCAUUACCAACAGUAAGGUUGCCCAUUACCAUCAGUAAGGUUGCCCAUUACCAUCAGUAAGGUUGCCCAUUACCAACAGUAAGGUUGCCCAUUACCAACAGUAAGGUUGCCCAUUACCAUCAGUACAGCAGUAAGGUUGCCCAUUACCAACAGUAAAGCAGUAAGGUUGCCCAUUACCAUCAGUACUAGAGUAAGGUUGCCCAUUACCAUCAGUACUAGAGUAAGGUUGCCCAUUACCAUCAGUACUAGAGUAAGGUUGCCCAUUACCAUCAGUACUAGAGUAAGGUUGCCCAUUACCAUCAGUAAGGUUGCCCAUUACCAUCAGUAAGGUUGCCCAUUACCAUCAGUAAGGUUGCCCAUUACCAUCAGUAAGGUUGCCCAUUACCACCAGUAAGGUUGCCCAUUACCACCAGUAAGGUUGCCCAUUACCACCAGUAAGGUUGCCCAUUACCAACAGUAAGGUUGCCCAUUACCAUCAGUAAGGUUGCCCAUUACCAUCAGUAAGGUUGCCCAUUACCAACAGUAAGGUUGCCCAUUACCAUCAGUAAGGUUGCCCAUUACCAUCAGUAAGGUUGCCCAUUACCAACAGUACAGCAGUAAGGUUGCCCAUUACCAACAGUAAGGUUGCCCAUUACCAUCAGUAAAGUUGCCCAUUACCACCAGUAAGGUUGCCCAUUACCACCAGUAAGGUUGCCCAUUACCAACAGUAAGGUUGCCCAUUACCAACAGUAAGGUUGCCCAUUACCAACAGUACAGCAGUAAGGUUGCCCAUUACCAACAGUAAGGUUGCCCAUUACCAACAGUACAGCAGUAAGGUUGCCCAUUACCACCAGUAAAGUUGCCCAUUACCACCAGUAAGGUUGCCCAUUACCACCAGUAAGGUUGCCCAUUACCAACAGUAAGGUUGCCCAUUACCAACAGUAAGGUUGCCCAUUACCACCAGUAAGGUUGCCCAUUACCACCAGUAAGGUUGCCCAUUACCAUAGAGUAAGGUUGCCCAUUACCAACAGUACUGCAGUAAGGUUGCCCAUUACCAACAGUACUGCAGUAAGGUUGCCCAUUACCAACAGUACUGCAGUAAGGUUGCCCAUUACCAACAGUACUGCAGUAAGGUUGCCCAUUACCAUCAGUAAGGUUGCCCAUUACCACCAGUAAGGUUGCCCAUUACCACCAGUAAGGUUGCCCAUUACCAUCAGUACUGCAGUAAGGUUGCCCCUUAUAUUACCAUCAGUACUGCAGUAAGGUUGCCCCUUAUAUUACCAUAAGUACAGCAGUAAGGUUGCCCCUUAUAUUACCAUAAGUACUGCAGUAAGGUUGCCCCUUAUAUUACCAUCAGUACUGCAGUAAGGUUGCCCCUUAUAUUACCAUAAGUACAGCAGUAAGGUUGCCCCUUAUAUUACCAUCAGUACUGCAGUAAGGUUGCCCAUUACCAUCAGUACUGCAGUAAGGUUGCCCCUUAUAUUACCAUCAGUACUGCAGUAAGGUUGCCCAUUACCAUCAGUACUGCAGUAAGGUUGCCCCUUAUAUUACCAUAAGUACUGGAGUAUAGAGGGCAUCAAACGAAGCAGAGACUAAGAGGGGAUUUUAAAUGAAGUCGGUAGUGGAGCGAUAGUUAAAUGUAACAUCUUAGAAAAUGACACACUAAAAUGGUUGUUUCAACUUUGAAGACACUUAAAAGACAGUUAAUGUGAAAUGGAGCUCAGUGUGAUAUUUUACCAAACUAACAGCUGCUGCCCAAACAGUUGAACUGACUAGACACAUUGCAGUAAAGAAUGACUUGUCAACACCAGUGGUUAGCAUCACAAUCACAGAGGGAGAAUGACACAUAUAUAUAUAUAUAUAUAUAUAUAUAUUCAUAUUCAGUGGUUCACUGGUAAUACAUGAGACAUACAGCAUUGAGCUAAGGCUUGAAAUGACUCCGUUUGUAAUAACACUACAACAUGAUACUAGAGUAACCUGCAAUGAGGAACAACAGCUGAGAAACUAGGCAGUUCGUUGGAAAAAGGUUGACAUCAAAUUCC